AAUCAAUCAUAGUCGCCCAGCUAACUACAGGUGGUUCCUGUUCCAUUUUUUCUCCCCUCCUCUCACCCUCCACCUCCAGAUCCGAUCCGAGUCCGAUCCACGCCGGCGAUCACCUGAGCACCGCCAUGGCGCUCAGCCUCCGCCAAAAGCAGCUUGAUGUGAUCGUGCGGAUGCUGCACCUGAACCAGCAGCAGCAGCAGCCGUCGCCGGACGGCGGCGAGGGGCAAGGGGAGGACGAGGCGUACAAGAUCCUGGUGAUGGACGCCCCUUGCGUCUCCCUCCUCUCCCCCGUGCUCCGCGUUGGCGACCUCCGCCGCCACGGUGUCACCCUCACCCUCGGCAUCGACCGUGCUCGGCAGGCGGUGCCCGACGCUCCCGCGGUCUACCUCGUCCGCCCCACGCCCGCCAACGCCGACCGCAUCGCCGCCGACGCCGCCGCAGGCCUCUACGCCUCGUUCCACAUCAACUUCUCAACCUCAGUCCCGCGGCCCGUGCUCGAGCGCCUCGCCGCCGCCUGCGCCGCGUCUCCCGGGGCCGCGCGCCGCGUGGCCCGUGUAGCCGACCAGUACCUCGACUUCGUCUGCCUUGAGGAUGGGCUCUUCUCCCUCGCCCAGCCGCGCGCGUACGUCGCGCUCAACGACCCCGCCGCCGCCGACGCCGACAUCACCACGCUCGUCGAAGCCGUCGCGCUGGGCCUCUUCUGCGUCGCCGCCACGCUUGGCGCCGUACCCGUCAUCAGGUGCGCGCGCGGAGGCCCCGCGGAGAUGGUCGCUGCCGCUCUCGAAGCCCGCCUCCGCGACCACCUCCACGCCAAGCCCAACCUCUUCACAGAGACCGCGUCCGCCGCGUCAUUCCAGCGCCCUGUCCUGUGCCUGUUCGACAGGAAUUUCGAGCUGUCGGUUGGGGUACAGCACGACUGGAGCUACCGGCCAUUGGUCCACGAUGUGCUCGGCUUGAAGCUGAAUAAACUGAAGUUGCCGGCGGAGAAGUACGAACUGGAAGACUCCGACAAAUUCUGGGUGGCAAACAGUUGGUUGCCAUUCCCCAAAGUUGCUGAGGAAAUUGAGGCGCAGCUUGCCAAGUACAAGCAGGAUGUGGAUGAGGUGAACCAGCGCACUGGUGGUGGCAAGGUUGGGGUUGAAUUCGAUGGCACUGAUCUGAUUGGCAACACCAAGCAUCUCAUGAAUGCGGUGAAUUCGCUCCCAGAGCUGACAGAACGGAAGAAGAUGAUUGAUAAGCACACUAAUAUCGCAACAGCAUUGCUUGGGCAUAUCAAGGAGAGGUCUUUGGAUGGAUACUGCGACUGCGAGAAUGAUAUGCUCGUGAAUGGCACUGUGGAUCGGAACACGCUGCUGAGUCUCCUUAGAGGUAAGGGUACCAAGGAAGAUAAGCUCCGGCUAGCUGUAACGUACCUAUUGUCCUUUGAGACACCACCAUCAUCUGAACUGGAGCAGGUUGAGGCUGCGCUGUGGGAGUCGGAAGUCGACAUGUCUGCAUUUCAGUAUGUGAAGAGGAUAAAGGCAUUGAAUACCCAAUUUGCUGCUGCUUCAGGCACAGCAACAAAGAGCAACAUUGUCGAUUGGGCAGAGAAGCUUUAUGGGCAGUCCCUUAGUGCAGUGACUGCAGGUGUGAAGAAUCUCUUGUCAGAUGGGAGGCAGCUGGCCUUGACAAGGACAGUUGAAGCUCUGAUGGAAGGGAAACCAAACCCAGAGGUGGACGACUACCUCUUGUUCGAUCCACGGGCCCCUAGGUCAGGAACUGGUGGGCAGUUUAAAGGACCCUUCAGAGAAGCUAUUGUUUUCAUGAUUGGUGGUGGAAACUACAUCGAGUACAGGAGCUUGAUGGAACUAGGACAACGCUCACAGCCUUCCAAGCAUGUUAUAUAUGGUGCAACAGAAAUUCUUAGUGGUGUGGAGUUUAUUCACCAACUUGCGGAAUUGGGACAGAAAGCAGGAUUGGGUGGUGGAAGCAGCAACCCACCACCUGGUCCAGCACAGUAGGUAGAAGCUUUUACCAGACCUUUUGAUGUUAAGGAGUGAUUCAAGCUUCAGAGAUUACAGCGGUUAUAUAUUUUCUUGCUGCCCUUCUGCUGAGCAUAUGUUAGUUUCUGGGACUGCAAAUACGUGAUUCACCAUGUUGAUUGAUCUUCAUGGCACAACUGGUUGAAUGGCAGCAAUGUCUUGCUGAACCUUAGUGAUGUUGAUCCUGCAUUGGCCAUCCAAUUUUAUCCUGAUAUUCAUCUCAGAAAGAACUGUGUUUUCUGUGUGCGGCAGCGAAAACUGGUAAUCAGGAGCUGAGCCAGUAAGUUCUCUUUCCGUCUGCUAAUACAGCCUCUGCAGGUGGCACGUGAGGCGGCACAUGUCGUCGAUGAUCUCACGUUCUAAAUCCCCCUCUAUAUCUGCUUCCAAAUCAUCAUGGAUUCAUAGCUCCUCAGUUGAAACUGUGUUCUCUGAAACGGCACCCUGCUCAUUAAAAAGAAAUGGAAAAUAAGUUGUAUGUGAUCCAUGAUACUGCUUACCUCUCCGUAUACCCUGAAGGAGCAUAACUAGUGUGACAACAGCAUGCAAGCUGAAGAACAUGACAGUGGGAGAGGAAGGUAAAGAUCAAAGUUACUGAAAUAGCAAUGCAACUAUACCAGUAGAAGAUAACCUGGCUGGGGUUGCCCAUGAGCAGAUGACGAAAAUGUUCUUCGCCUUCUUAUUUCUAGCCUGAUGUUCUUAUUUUGGCAAAGGCAGUUAUCACUUGGUUUUUGUUCAGUAAACCGGGAAGGUGGAACAAGAAGUUGUCAGUCUGGUUGCGCUUAAGCAAAGCUAUCAUACACAAUUGCAAGCAAAAAUCUUACAACUGGCAUCAGAUUGAAGGAGCACGGUGUGGUGCAUCAACAGUGAAAUUGGAAUGGCCCCGGAUGCAUUUUAAAGGGUCUGCGCAUGAUGCAGUUUAGAUGAUCUGCACAUUAAGGGUUGUUGAACAGAUACAAUGUAUGUUUCUUCGUAUGAUUGGUUCAUCAGAAUUUCUCUUAUGCUUGAUCUACUAUGGAAGUAUUGUGAUAUUUGUUUCCUUGGCA
Phragmites australis (common reed) is the source of this 3064-nucleotide RNA transcript. It is a transcript of the gene named SEC1 family transport protein SLY1-like, with no coding region annotated. The transcript is spliced from 6 exons. Lineage: Eukaryota; Viridiplantae; Streptophyta; Magnoliopsida; Poales; Poaceae. The record is from RefSeq and is a predicted model, not a curated record.